RNAcentral lists this long non-coding RNA (1317 nucleotides) under Urocitellus parryii (Arctic ground squirrel). RNAcentral describes it as "lncRNA (ENSUPAG00010006098.1)". The record is from RNAcentral. Lineage: Eukaryota; Metazoa; Chordata; Mammalia; Rodentia; Sciuridae.
CCGACAUUUUCGUUCCUUGUCCCCACUGUUAACCCAUGUCUGGUAUGGCCUUGACCCAGGGUGUGGCCGGUACUGCUGCCCAUGAACCUUCAAGGACACUCUUCCCCAUCCUUCACAGCACUCCCUGGAGUAGGGGACCGGCAGGUGGAAGUGUUGACCUGGAAAUUUUUACUCAGAAUGAACCAUGGGCCUCAACUUGCCCUUGGGUGGAACUGAAGGUCGCGGAGUCUCAACAAUGGAUUGCUGACUGGGAAGCAUCCCCAAACCCUCCUCACUCCCUCCUGCCCCUGCCUGCGGCCCCCUGCGGCCACCGCUAGAGAUCAGACCAAGCACUGUAGGGGACUGCCCUGCACCUCUCAGCCUUUCCAGGAUCAGCCUGGAAAGACCACCCUGUUCAAAGUCAGGGCAGCAAGGGAAUAACCAUGUCUUAUUAGAGCCUCCUAUGCCAGGCACAAGACCAAGGGCAGAAUCAGCCUACUCGCCUUCACGGUCACCCUGUGAGGCACGAUGACGUCACUCUGAGGUGAGGUUUUGUGAAUUGGUUGCUUAAAUUUACAAUGCUAAGUGGCAGCAGCGGGGACAGCUCAGUGUGGCCCACCAGUUGCCCCCAGUACUCUGGCACUCGUCCAUCAACGUGUCAGAGCACUUUUGUGUGCCAGAUACCAAAAUGUUGGGGCCUCAAGGGAGAAAGACAGGCAGCCUCCUGCCCUCAGCAGGGGGCACCUCACCUCCAGCUUGAACACUGCCAGGGUUGAGCCCUUAGCUUUCAAUUCCUUUGUAUCCUGGGGAGAAACUGCUAUUUGUUAAAAUAACCCAGAACUCCAGCGCUGGCACUAGGAAUUGGUACUGGGGAUUUAACCCAGGUGGUGCUUCACUACUGAGCCACAUCCCCAGCCCUUUUUUAAUUUUUGAUACUGGGUCUUGCUAAAUUGCUGAGGCUGGCCUUGAACUUGCCUCAGCCUCCUGAGCCACUGGGAUUACAGGGGUGCACCACCUUGCCCAGCUAGCCCUAGGAAUAUUUCCAUGUCAGAAUGGAUCAGAAGGUCUGAAGUCCUGAUUCCUGCUGAAGCCAUCAGACCCAUUUGGCUGAGGCCCUGCCCUGGAGUUGGACUCCUCAGAUCUUGCAUUCCGGAGCCCAGCUCAGCGCCUCCCAUGCCUCUGCUGGGGCUGACUCUGGGAGAAGCACCCAUGCUGUUGAAUAGCACAGUGCCUGGAAGAAGGUCAGUGCCACAUGAGUGUCAGCUAAGAUUGACAUUGCUAAGUCACUAAACUAGCUCUGGGUCUGGCUUCUAAGGCAGAAUUUUCUCAGCCACCACU